RNAcentral lists this ribosomal RNA (397 nucleotides) under uncultured bacterium. RNAcentral's name for it is "partial 16S ribosomal RNA". It matches the Rfam family "Bacterial small subunit ribosomal RNA", at positions 523 to 918 of the family's 1533-position model. The record is from RNAcentral.
AUACGUAGGGGGCGAGCGUUGUCCGGAAUGAUUGGGCGUAAAGGGCGCGUAGGCGGCGCGGUAAGUCUGGAGUGAAAGUCCUGCUUUCAAGGUGGGAAUUGCUUUGGAUACUGCCGCGCUUGAGUGCAGGAGAGGUUAUCGGAAUUCCCGGUGUAGCGGUGAAAUGCGUAGAGAUCGGGAGGAACACCAGUGGCGAAGGCGGGUAACUGGACUGCAACUGACGCUGAGGCGCGAAAGUGUGGGGAGCAAACAGGAUUAGAUACCCUGGUAGUCCACACUGUAAACGAUGAAGGCUAGGUGUAAGAGGUAUCGACCCCUUUUGUGCCGGAGUCAACACAAUAAGCAUUCCGCCUGGGGAGUACGGCCGCAAGGUUGAAACUCAAAGGAAUUGACGGGG